Molecule: ribosomal RNA, 497 nt
Filed under: uncultured bacterium
Lineage: Bacteria
Description: partial 16S ribosomal RNA
Rfam family: Bacterial small subunit ribosomal RNA
Source: RNAcentral
GAUGAACGCUGGCGGCGUGCCUAAUACAUGCAAGUCGAGCGAACGGACGAGAAGCUUGCUUCUCUGAUGUUAGCGGCGGACGGGUGAGUAACACGUGGAUAACCUACCUAUAAGACUGGGAUAACUUCGGGAAACCGUAGCUAAUACCGGAUAAUAUUUUGAACCGCAUGGUUCAAAAGUGAAAGACGGUCUUGCUGUCACUUAUAGAUGGAUCCGCGCUGCAUUAGCUAGUUGGUAAGGUAACGGCUUACCAAGGCAACGAUGCAUAGCCGACCUGAGAGGGUGAUCGGCCACACUGGAACUGAGACACGGUCCAGACUCCUACGGGAGGCAGCAGUAGGGAAUCUUCCGCAAUGGGCGAAAGCCUGACGGAGCAACGCCGCGUGAGUGAUGAAGGUCUUCGGAUCGUAAAACUCUGUUAUUAGGGAAGAACAUAUGUGUAAGUAACUCUGCACAUCUUGACGGUACCUAAUCAGAAAGCCACGGCUAGCUACGUG